GGGGGUAGAGCUCAGUGGUAGAGCAUGUGCUUAGCAUGCACGAGGUCCUGGGUUCAAUCCCCGGUACCUCCA
RNAcentral lists this transfer RNA (72 nucleotides) under Camelus ferus (Wild Bactrian camel). It matches the Rfam family "tRNA". From Rfam's summary of the family: Transfer RNA (tRNA) molecules are approximately 80 nucleotides in length. Their secondary structure includes four short double-helical elements and three loops (D, anti-codon, and T loops). The record is from Rfam by way of RNAcentral. Lineage: Eukaryota; Metazoa; Chordata; Mammalia; Artiodactyla; Camelidae.